Molecule: ribosomal RNA, 687 nt
Filed under: uncultured bacterium
Lineage: Bacteria
Description: bacterial SSU rRNA
Rfam family: Bacterial small subunit ribosomal RNA
Source: RNAcentral
CGACUUGGAGGUUGUUCCCUUGAGGAGUGGCUUCCGGAGCUAACGCGUUAAGUCGACCGCCUGGGGAGUACGGCCGCAAGGUUAAAACUCAAAUGAAUUGACGGGGGCCCGCACAAGCGGUGGAGCAUGUGGUUUAAUUCGAUGCAACGCGAAGAACCUUACCUACUCUUGACAUCCAGAGAACUUAGCAGAGAUGCUUUGGUGCCUUCGGGAACUCUGAGACAGGUGCUGCAUGGCUGUCGUCAGCUCGUGUUGUGAAAUGUUGGGUUAAGUCCCGCAACGAGCGCAACCCUUAUCCUUUGUUGCCAGCGAUUCGGUCGGGAACUCAAAGGAGACUGCCGGUGAUAAACCGGAGGAAGGUGGGGAUGACGUCAAGUCAUCAUGGCCCUUACGAGUAGGGCUACACACGUGCUACAAUGGCGCAUACAAAGAGAAGCGACCUCGCGAGAGCAAGCGGACCUCAUAAAGUGCGUCGUAGUCCGGAUCGGAGUCUGCAACUCGACUCCGUGAAGUCGGAAUCGCUAGUAAUCGUGGAUCAGAAUGCCACGGUGAAUACGUUCCCGGGCCUUGUACACACCGCCCGUCACACCAUGGGAGUGGGUUGCAAAAGAAGUAGGUAGCUUAACCUUCGGGAGGGCGCUUACCACUUUGUGAUUCAUGACUGGGGUGAAGUCGUAACAAGGUACC